AGCAGUGAGGAAUAUUGCGCAAUGGGGGAAACCCUGACGCAGCAACGCCGCGUGUGGGAAGAAGGCCUUCGGGUCGUAAACCACUUUUACUCGGGACGAAAAAGGGAUAUCAAAUAAAUAUCCCCGAUGACGGUACCGUGAGAAUAAGCCACGGCUAACUCUGUGCCAGCAGCCGCGGUAAGACAGAGGUGGCAAGCGUUGUUCGGAAUUACUGGGCGUAAAGAGUCUGUAGGUGGUUUGUCAAGUCUUUGGUGAAAGGCCGUAGCUUAACUAUGGGAAUGCCAAAGAGACUGGCAGGCUGGA
This 303-nucleotide ribosomal RNA is filed under the name uncultured bacterium. RNAcentral's name for it is "bacterial SSU rRNA". It matches the Rfam family "Bacterial small subunit ribosomal RNA", at positions 350 to 645 of the family's 1533-position model. The record is from RNAcentral.